Molecule: ribosomal RNA, 544 nt
Filed under: Papiliotrema laurentii
Lineage: Eukaryota; Fungi; Basidiomycota; Tremellomycetes; Tremellales; Rhynchogastremaceae
Description: partial large subunit ribosomal RNA
Rfam family: Eukaryotic large subunit ribosomal RNA
Source: RNAcentral
GGGCGUCCGAGUUGUAAUCUAUAGAGGCGUUUUCCCUGCCGGACCGUGUCCAAGUUCCUUGGAACAGGAUAUCAAAGAGGGUGACAAUCCCGUACUUGACACGACGACCGGUGCUCUGUGAUACGUCUUCUACGAGUCGAGUUGUUUGGGAAUGCAGCUCAAAAUGGGUGGUGAGUUCCAUCUAAAGCUAAAUAUUGGCGAGAGACCGAUAGCGAACAAGUACCGUGAGGGAAAGAUGAAAAGCACUUUGGAAAGAGAGUUAAACAGUACGUGAAAUUGUUGAAAGGGAAACGAUUGAAGUCAGUCGUGACCGAGAGGCUCAGCCGGUUCUGCCGGUGUAUUCCCCUCGGUCGGGUCAACAUCAGUUUUGUCCGGUGGAUAAGGGCAGUAGGAAGGUGGCACCCUCGGGUGUGUUAUAGCCUGCCGUCGCAUACAUCGGGUGAGACUGAGGAACGCAGCUCGCCUUUAUGGCCGGGGUUCGCCCACGUCCGAGCUUAGGAUGUUGACAUAAUGGCUUUAAACGACCCGUCUUGAAACACGGACC